This 357-nucleotide ribosomal RNA is filed under the name uncultured bacterium. Its description in RNAcentral is "bacterial SSU rRNA". It matches the Rfam family "Bacterial small subunit ribosomal RNA", at positions 29 to 412 of the family's 1533-position model. The record is from RNAcentral.
AGCGAACGCUGGCGGCAGGCUUAACACAUGCAAGUCGAACGGGCGUAGCAAUACGUCAGUGGCAGACGGGUGAGUAACGCGUGGGAACGUACCUUUUGGUUCGGAACAACCCAGGGAAACUUGGGCUAAUACCGGAUAAGCCCUUACGGGGAAAGAUUUAUCGCCAAUGGAUUGGCCCGCGUCUGAUUAGCUAGUUGGUGAGGUAAUGGCUCACCAAGGCGACGAUCAGUAGCUGGUCNGAGAGGAUGAUCAGCCACACUGGGACUGAGACACGGCCCAGACUCCUACGGGAGGCAGCAGUGGGAAUAUUGGACAAUGGGCGAAAGCCUGAUCCAGCCAUGCCGCGUGAUAGAUGAA